UACGAAGGGGGCUAGCGUUGCUCGGAAUCACUGGGCGUAAAGCGCACGUAGGCGGAUUGCUAAGUCAGGGGUGAAAUCCUGGAGCUCAACUCCAGAACUGCCUUUGAUACUGGCGAUCUUGAGUCCGGGAGAGGUGAGUGGAACUGCGAGUGUAGAGGUGAAAUUCGUAGAUAUUCGCAAGAACACCAGUGGCGAAGGCGGCGCACUGGCCCGGUACUGACGCUGAGGUGCGAAAGCGUGGGGAGCAAACAGG
RNAcentral lists this ribosomal RNA (253 nucleotides) under uncultured bacterium. RNAcentral's name for it is "partial 16S ribosomal RNA". It matches the Rfam family "Bacterial small subunit ribosomal RNA", at positions 524 to 776 of the family's 1533-position model. The record is from RNAcentral.